GCACCGGAGAUGUCGUCGAUCAAUCAGACUGAUGAAAUAGAGGACAUUAUGGCUUGCGUAACGGCUUUGGAAGCUGCUCUGUUGCCAUGUUUACCCGCUGGAGAGCUUCAAGUCAUCGACGGCUCUUGUCAUCCUUUAUAGAGAUCUGAUGAUUUGUGGAUUGGUAAACGCAAAUUGCGUAUACUCUGAUGACUUUUCUACAUUCAUUGACAGGCUAUAUAUAGAGAUAUUGGUAAGCAAGCAUAAAAUCUCCGAAAUAUCAACUAUAUUAAG
Molecule: long non-coding RNA, 273 nt
Filed under: Arabidopsis lyrata
Lineage: Eukaryota; Viridiplantae; Streptophyta; Magnoliopsida; Brassicales; Brassicaceae
Description: long non-coding RNA (ALYR_LNC003309)
Source: RNAcentral